CGCGGCCUAUCAGCUUGUUGGUGGGGUGAUGGCCUACCAAGGCGUCGACGGGUAGCCGGCCUGAGAGGGCGACCGGCCACACUGGGACUGAGACACGGCCCAGACUCCUACGGGAGGCAGCAGUGGGGAAUAUUGCACAAUGGGCGAAAGCCUGAUGCAGCGACGCCGCGUGAGGGAUGACGGCCUUCGGGUUGUAAACCUCUUUCAGCAGGGAAGAAGGCCUUCGGGUGGACGGUACCUGUAGAAGAAGCGCCGGCUAACUACGUGCCAGCAGCCGCGGUAAUACGUAGGGCGCAAGCGUUGUCCGGAAUUAUUGGGCGUAAAGAGCUCGUAGGCGGUUUGUCGCGUCUGGUGUGAAAUCCCGAGGCUCAACCUCGGGCUUGCAUCGGGUACGGGCAGACUAGAGUACUGUAGGGGAGACUGGAAUUCCUGGUGUAGCGGUGGAAUGCGCAGAUAUCAGGAGGAACACCGAUGGCGAAGGCAGGUCUCUGGGCAGUUACUGACGCUGAGGAGCGAAAGCAUGGGGAGCGAACAGGAUUAGAUACCCUGGUAGUCCAUGCCGUAAACGUUGGGCACUAGGUGUGGGGCUCAUUCCACGAGUUCCGUGCCGCAGCUAACGCAUUAAGUGCCCCGCCUGGGGAGUACGG
Molecule: ribosomal RNA, 647 nt
Filed under: uncultured Actinomycetes bacterium
Lineage: Bacteria; Bacillati; Actinomycetota; Actinomycetes
Description: bacterial SSU rRNA
Rfam family: Bacterial small subunit ribosomal RNA
Source: RNAcentral